RNAcentral lists this ribosomal RNA (415 nucleotides) under uncultured bacterium. RNAcentral describes it as "bacterial SSU rRNA". It matches the Rfam family "Bacterial small subunit ribosomal RNA", at positions 96 to 507 of the family's 1533-position model. The record is from RNAcentral.
UGGCGGACGGGUGAGUAAUGCCUGGGGAGCUGCCCAAUCGAGGGGGAUACCAGUUGGAAACGACUGCUAAUACCGCAUACGCCCUGAGGGGGAAAGGUGGGGAUCUUCGGACCUACCGCGAUUGGAUGCGCCCAGGUGGGAUUAGCUAGUUGGUGAGGUAACGGCUCACCAAGGCGACGAUCUCUAGCUGGUCUGAGAGGAUGACCAGCCACACUGGAACUGAGACACGGUCCAGACUCCUACGGGAGGCAGCAGUGGGGAAUAUUGCACAAUGGGGGAAACCCUGAUGCAGCCAUGCCGCGUGUGUGAAGAAGGCCUUCGGGUUGUAAAGCACUUUCAGUCAGGAGGAAAGGUGGCUAGCUAAUACCUAGUUGCUGUGACGUUACUGACAGAAGAAGCACCGGCUAACUCCGUG